AGAGAAUCGCUUGAACCUGGGAGACGGAGGUUGUAGUGAGCCGAGAUCAUGCCACUGCACUCCAGCCUGGGCGACAAGA
RNAcentral lists this small nuclear RNA (79 nucleotides) under Homo sapiens (human). RNAcentral's name for it is "partial ncRNA". Lineage: Eukaryota; Metazoa; Chordata; Mammalia; Primates; Hominidae. The record is from RNAcentral.